Non-coding RNA from Zootermopsis nevadensis, 265 nucleotides. NCBI's taxonomy places the organism in Eukaryota, Metazoa, Arthropoda, Insecta, Blattodea, Termopsidae. The record is from RefSeq and is a predicted model, not a curated record.
UCUGUACACGCGUGAGUCUUUGUUCCACGUUCCUUGUUGUAUGUGAGGGUCUAUCCAGGCCAAUGCCACUGGCGAAGAAUGAUGUGACCCGGCUUCAAUUAUGAAGCAAGAACUGUUUCUACGAAAACAGUCUGUAUCCUGUAGUUCCAGUGGUGACGUAGAACGACCGAGGAAAAUCACGAAGAUUAAGGUGCCCUCCAUGAGUAACCACAAAGCCGUGGAAUAUACGAAGCGCGUAUGUGUUCCUCCACGUUGUUAAAACCUC